UGGGGAAUAUUGCACAAUGGAGGGAACUCUGAUGCAGCGACGCCGCGUGAACGAAGAAGGCUUUCGAGUCGUAAAGUUCUUUUAUAUGGGAAGAUAAUGACGGUACCAUAAGAAAAAGCCCCGGCUAACUACGUGCCAGCAGCCGCGGUAAUACGUAGGGGGCUAGCGUUGUCCGGAAUCACUGGGCGUAAAGGGUUCGCAGGCGGAAAUGCAAGUCAGGUGUAAAAGGCAGUAGCUUAACUACUGUAAGCAUUUGAAACUGCAUAUCUUGAGAAGAGUAGAGGUAAGUGGAAUUUUUAGUGUAGCGGUGAAAUGCGUAGAUAUUAAAAAGACUACCGGUGGCGAAGGCGACUUACUGGGCUCAUUCUGACGCUGAGGAACGAAAGCGUGGGUAGCAAACAGG
This 403-nucleotide ribosomal RNA is filed under the name Fusobacteriota bacterium. Its description in RNAcentral is "Fusobacteria bacterium partial 16S ribosomal RNA". It matches the Rfam family "Bacterial small subunit ribosomal RNA", at positions 355 to 776 of the family's 1533-position model. The record is from RNAcentral. Lineage: Bacteria; Fusobacteriati; Fusobacteriota.